This 212-nucleotide ribosomal RNA is filed under the name uncultured bacterium. RNAcentral describes it as "partial 16S ribosomal RNA". It matches the Rfam family "Bacterial small subunit ribosomal RNA", at positions 371 to 576 of the family's 1533-position model. The record is from RNAcentral.
AUGGACGAAGUCUGACGGAGCACGCCGCGUGAGUGAUGAAGGUUUUCGGAUCGUAAAACUCUGUUGUUAGGGAAGAACAAGUGCUAGUUGAAUAGCCUGGCACCUUGCCGGACCCUAACCAAAAAGCCCCGGCAAACUACUGGCCACCGGCCCCGGAAUUACGUAGGUGGCAAGCGUUAUCCGGAAUUAUUGGGCGUAAAGCGCGCGCAGGU